This 216-nucleotide ribosomal RNA is filed under the name Glomeromycotina sp. RNAcentral's name for it is "partial small subunit ribosomal RNA". The stretch from base 92 to 216 matches the Rfam family "Eukaryotic small subunit ribosomal RNA", at positions 738 to 864 of the family's 1831-position model. The record is from RNAcentral. Lineage: Eukaryota; Fungi; Glomeromycota.
GACCCGGUACGGUCGUCCGCCUUCACGGUGUGUACUGCUGGACCGGGUUCUACCUCUUGGUGAGCCGGCAUGCCCUUCACUGGGUGUGUCGGGGAACCAGGACUUUUACCUUGAGAAAAUUAGAGUGUUCAAAGCAGGCCUACGCCCGAAUACAUUAGCAUGGCAUAAUAAAAUAGGACGUGCGGUUCUAUUUUGUUGGUUUCUAGAGUCGCCGUA